GCUCCGGGCUUUCAGUUGGUACCAACGGUCAGCGGCUGUGACGGGUUCUGGCGGUUUCAUCUGCACCUCGGAUCUGGUUUCUGGAGUUCUGCUGAGCCAACGAGAGAAAAUGUCUUUAAAGCGCCGACUGGUCUCCAUGUUUCUGUGCUGUGUUUACUGUGUGGCCUCACUCUUCUGCCUCCAUCCAAACCGCAGCAAUAUUGUCUCAGUGGGAGCACGGAGUCUGUCGACGGUCUUCCAACAACUUUAUCAGCGUGUCAUCCGAAUGCUGAGAACCACACUGUGACUUCACACCACUUCCUGUGUUCGAAAGAGUCACCCUGGAUCUCCUGUGUCACUGUGACCGUGAGCGAGCAUGCCUCCCAACAGAGCAAGAACAAACGAAUAAAAGAAGAGAAAAGAAAAGAGGAAUAAUAUGUGUGGUACUGCAGAGUUUGAAUUGACUCAUAUUUGUCCGAACAGCUUUCCAAAAGCCCAGACAAGAAGAUGAAAACAGAUUUAUUUUUCUACACUUGACAAUGUAUGCUUGCUCAUGAGUAAAAAUUGUUGGAAAGAUAAUUCAUUUAAAAUACAAAAAAAUACAAAAUAAAUAAAUAAAUUCAGUUAAAAUACAAAGUAAAAAUGUUUUACUGGGUAGAAUAACUUGUAGUGUAUCAGUGUGGUUCAGGAGAGAAAAGUUCACAAAUCACUUUUCUUGACGGUUUGCAGGAUUACCCAGAGUAGACAUUGCAGCAUCCUGUGAAAAUAUUCAUACAUGUUCAGUUUUUCUAUAACAUUAAUCACUAAGGUUUGAUUUAUGCAGACAAAAACCUCGUAAUUUCUGGGCUUCAGGAGGACACAUUCUAACUCACGUAGUUUGUGAAGAGGUUUCAGUUUUGUCAAGUUUUGAUGAGUUACAUUGUUAUUUGAUCUACUUUAUUGUGAUGUAUAAUUUUUUUGACAUCUUUAAUGUGUAACAUACUGCGGCAGACUGGCGACCUGUCCAGGGUGAACCCCGCCUCUCGCCCGGAACGCAGCUGGAGAGACACCAGCACCUCCCGACCCCGUUAGGGAGAAGGGUGAUCAGAAAAUGAAUGGAUGGAUGGAAUGUGUAACAUCAAUUAUAUUUAUAAUUUACAGCAUUUACAAUUUUGUUUUUCGAGAGUCUGUUUCUAAAAUACAUAUUUAAAAGACAUGUGAAAAGGUAAAAAAAAAAAAAUCCAAUGAAAAGUAAAGUUACUCUUGAAGUGGGAUGUUUGGAUGAGAACUGAACCCAAACUUCGGGCCUCUAAGUUAUUUUUCUUUUAAAUCUAAAGUAAUUAUUUUUUUCAACAUUAUACCAAAAACCAGCAGAUAUUAUGUCAGUAGGUUUGAGAUAAUAGACAAAAUUUAUCAUGUGAAACUAAUUCAGUGGGUCAGAAAGACAAGAUCUACAAUGGUGAUGAAGACAUUAUUACUAAUAAGAAGGAUUAUCUGUAAGUUACAAAGAAAGGCUAUAAGAAAGUCAGAAGAAAGUAAAUCAAGGCUGAUAAAAAAAAGGCUAACCGACACAAAUUUAGAUGGUUCACAGUGUUUAAACAUGACCUCCAUCACUGUUACGAUCUCAUCUGUUGGCUGCUUAUAGGAGCUUAUAGCAGCUAACAGAUGAGCAACAGGUCCCUGAAACACUUUUCCAUUUUGUGCUACAAAAUCUAAACAGCAGUUACAUGGUUGAGUGAAAUAAUAACCAACAUCAGUUUCAAUGGGCAGCAGUGCCUUUCCUAAGAUGCGGAUUUUGUAGUAGCACUCCAGACUGAACGGUAUUUUUUAUUCCAUAUAGACUAAUUACAGCCGUUAAGUAAAAACAGCUAUUCAGUGAGUUUGACAUUGUAUUAAGAGAAGAGCUGAAUUCUGUUUUUGUUAGAUUUGUGAUUUUGCAAAGAAGUGUGAAAAUAUAAGAUGGCGGAUCAUUUCAAGGUGUUUAUCUGAAUGUCAUUUUAGGAAGCAAAAUCUUGGGAAAAACAUGUUGUAGUGAUGUAAAUUUUAACACACUUGUAUAGAAGGAGUGAAUGGAAAUGAUUAUAAAUUGCAAAGUAAAUAAAUAAAUUAAACAGACUUUUCUAUGUAAGAAAUGAGUCCACUGCUGAUGAGAUAAUAGCAAAAUAGUGCUGUGUCUGUGUUCCAAAUAAAUGUAGUAGACUGCUGUUUAUGUCACUGAUUUCAUAAAAUACAAACUGUCAACUUGAA
Poeciliopsis prolifica (blackstripe livebearer) is the source of this 2205-nucleotide long non-coding RNA. RefSeq lists it as uncharacterized. The transcript is spliced from 3 exons. The record is from RefSeq and is a predicted model, not a curated record. Lineage: Eukaryota; Metazoa; Chordata; Actinopteri; Cyprinodontiformes; Poeciliidae.